UACGUAGGGGGCGAGCGUUAUCCGGAUUUACUGGGCAUAAAGCGCGUGUAGGCUGUUUCUCAAGUCAGUUGUUAAAGGCUGCGGCUCAACCGCAGUAUGCAAUUGAAACUGAGUUACUAGAGAACAGGAGAGGAAAGCGGAACUCAUGGUGUAGCGGUGAAAUGCGUAGAUAUCAUGAGGAACACCAGUUGCGAAGGCGGCUUUCUGGCCUGAUUCUGACGCUGAGAUGCGAAAGCGUGGGGAGCGAACGGG
RNAcentral lists this ribosomal RNA (252 nucleotides) under uncultured bacterium. RNAcentral's name for it is "partial 16S ribosomal RNA". It matches the Rfam family "Bacterial small subunit ribosomal RNA", at positions 524 to 776 of the family's 1533-position model. The record is from RNAcentral.